Molecule: long non-coding RNA, 931 nt
Organism: Canis lupus familiaris (dog)
Lineage: Eukaryota; Metazoa; Chordata; Mammalia; Carnivora; Canidae
Exons: 2
Source: RefSeq, a predicted model, not a curated record
CCACAAACCCAGGGGUAACCGACUAGUGGGCCAGGGUUCACGUUGGUGGCGCCCUUGCACACUGCGGGGAAGCCCAUCCUGCCCCCGCGGGCUGUCCCCGGGGCCUGCAGGGCCCUGUCCCCGCGACUCUCGGCUUCUGUCCUGCAGAACCUACAGCUUUACUGCCCCCCUGGGGUCAGUGACCCUCCCAGGGCGAGCGUGACUUGGGGAAACGUUGGUGAAGGUUUCCUAAACCUCCUCGACGUUGUGACACCCCCGGUGCCCUUCCUGUCCUGCUCCCCGCGUCGCUGUGACUCUCCUCCGACAGGAGAAACUUGGAGAGAGGCUCCCGGUGUGAUCCUCGGCGUCAGCUGCCGGGACCCCUGGUGACUUCCGCGGCCCGCCAGUUGAUGAAGUAUCCAGGGGACUUAUCCUACUUGACUUUCAUAAGAAACGUCCAAAGUCCAAGUGAGCCCAGCAGCCACCGUGACCCUCAGUCCAGACCUAGAAAGCGGCAGCACAAAGAAGGAACGUGACUCGCCAGAGAUCGAACAACAGCCUCGUCUCAAAAUUUCACUUUCCCGACAUUGAAGAAUUCUAGAAAGAUCUAAAAUGGGCCCUUUAACGGAGUGACUCAUCAGCAAAAGGGGGACUUUCCUGUGAGUGGUUUUAGGACGUGAAUAACACGCACGGGUCUUCAAACUGCAUGAGUUUUUAGAGAUUAAUCUCCGCUCCUUCGAGAGGUGAGGAGACAGAGGUUUAGAGAGGCUAAUUAAUAUUCUUCCGGAAGCUGUCCAAGCCUGUUUUAUGAUUUACCAGCUUAAUCAUAUUAAUUAUAUAGUACGUGUUCGACUCCAGGAAGUAAGGCCUCACGGAAAGGUCGAGAAACACCGACUCUUCAAUCAGUGUUGGGGUCAUUGCUUGAAUAAAGAUAUUGCAAAAGGGAGAUGGA